GAUGAACGUAGCGAAAUGCGAUAAGUAAUGUGAAUUGCAGAAUUCAGUGAAUCAUCGAAUCUUUGAACGCACAUUGCGCCCGUCAGUAUUCUGGCGGGCAUGCCUGUUCGAGCGUCAUUACGCCCCUCAAGUCCCCUGUGGACUUGGUGUUGGGGAUCGGCGAGGCUGGUUUUCCAGCACAGCCGUCCCUUAAAUUAAUUGGCGGUCUCGCCGUGGCCCUCCUCUGCGCAGUAGUAAAACACUCGCAACAGGAGCCCGGCGCGGUCCACUGCCGUAAAACCCCCCAACUUUUUAUAGUUGACCUCGAAUCAGGUAGGACUACCCGCUGAACUUAAGCAUAUCAAUAAGCGGAGGA
RNAcentral lists this unclassified non-coding RNA (355 nucleotides) under soil metagenome. RNAcentral describes it as "partial contains 5.8S ribosomal RNA, internal transcribed spacer 2, and large subunit ribosomal RNA". The stretch from base 1 to 117 matches the Rfam family "5.8S ribosomal RNA", at positions 38 to 154 of the family's 154-position model. The record is from RNAcentral.